Molecule: small nuclear RNA, 107 nt
Organism: Capra hircus (goat)
Lineage: Eukaryota; Metazoa; Chordata; Mammalia; Artiodactyla; Bovidae
Source: Ensembl
GUGCUCACUUGGGCAGCAGGUUUACUGAAAUUGGAACAAUACGGAGAAGAUUAGCAUGGCUCCUGCACAAGGAUGACAUGGAAAUUCAUGAAGAAUUCCAUCUUCUU